RNAcentral lists this ribosomal RNA (497 nucleotides) under uncultured bacterium. Its description in RNAcentral is "partial 16S ribosomal RNA". It matches the Rfam family "Bacterial small subunit ribosomal RNA", at positions 28 to 507 of the family's 1533-position model. The record is from RNAcentral.
GAUGAACGCUGGCGGCGUGCCUAAUACAUGCAAGUCGAGCGAACAGACGAGGAGCUUGCUCCUCUGACGUUAGCGGCGGACGGGUGAGUAACACGUGGAUAACCUACCUAUAAGACUGGGAUAACUUCGGGAAACCGGAGCUAAUACCGGAUAACAUGUUGAACCGCAUGGUUCAACAGUGAAAGACGGUCUUGCUGUCACUUAUAGCUGGAUCCGCGCCGCAUUAGCUAGUUGGUAAGGUAACGGCUUACCAAGGCAACGAUGCGUAGCCGACCUGAGAGGGUGAUCGGCCACACUGGAACUGAGACACGGUCCAGACUCCUACGGGAGGCAGCAGUAGGAAAUCUUCCGCAAUGGGCGAAAGCCUGACGGAGCAACGCCGCGUGAGUGAAGAAGGUCUUCGGAUCGUAAAACUCUGUUAUUAGGGAAGAACAAAUGUGUAAGUAACUAUGCACGUCUUGACGGUACCUAAUCAGAAAGCCACGGCUAACUACGUG